AGGGAUGAACUUCACAUAAAUGAAGACAUGGACAUGCACGAAAAUGCAAAACUUGAGAGGAAGAGACGAGAGGAAGCUAGGAUGAGCUUACGCUCUGGUCUGACUGGGCUUCCUCAGCCAAGGAACGAAUACCAAAUAGUUGCACAACCUCCUCCUGAAGAAAGUGAAGAGCCAGAAGAGAAAAUUGAGGAAGACAUGUCAGACAGGAUUGCUAGGGAAAAGGCUGAGGAGGAAGCAAGACAGCAAGCGCUGCUUAGGAAAAGGUCCAAGGUGUUGCAGAGAGAUCUUCCUAGACCUCCAGCAGCUUCGUUGGAACUGAUUAGGAAUUCGCUGCUUUCAGCCAACCGAGACAAAAGUUCUGUUGUUCCUCCUAGUCCAGUUGAUGAUGCAGAUGAAAUGGUAAGAAAGGAGCUUCUACAGUUGCUGGAGCAUGAUAAUGCAAAGUAUCCUCUUGAUGAGAAAGCUGAGAAAAAGAAAGGAGCCAAGAACCGUGCUAACAGUUCUGGUUCUCAAGUUGCUGCAAUUGAAGACUUUGAGGAAAAUGAACUCCAAGAGGUAUGAAUACGAACAAUAUAUUCCUUUAUCUCAGUUUACUUUUUUGUUAUUUAGUUGAUUUAUUUGUUGAGCUGCCUCUUGAAUUGAGUUCUUAGUUUGCUCUUGGUUUAUGGAUGGAUAGGUUGCUUGAUUGAUAUUAUGCAGAUGAGUGUAUAUCCGCCCUUACUUUGAAGCAACAUCUUUAAUCUGGUAUAAGUUAGUGGGUUCUAAAGGAAAUUGUCCGUGUUGUUUUUGGUAGGCUGACAAAUUGAUAAAGGAGGAGGCACAAUUUCUUUGCGCGGCAAUGGGAAACGAGAGCAAGACAUUUGACGAAUUCGUAGUAGCUCACGACGAUUGUGUGAAGGAUAUCAUGUACUUCCCCACUCGAAAUGCUUACGGGCCCUCAAGUGUUGCUGUGAAGGCAGAGAAAGUUGCAGCUUUGCAAGUGGAGAUGGAGAAUGCGAGGAAAAAGAUGGAGGAGGAUGAGAAGAAGGCAGAACACAUGAAAGCCAAGUAUAAAACUUAUACAAAGGGCCAUGAGGUAUAAUUAAUAUAAUCUACACUGCCUUUAUCUUAAUUCUGAAACUAAUUGGUUGAAUCACUUGAUAUUUAAUGAUUUAGUAUUUGUCCACUUUGACAGAAAAGAGCAGAGACCGUGUGGAGCCAGAUAGAGGCGGAAGCGAGAGCGAGGCUGGCUAACACCAGGGGAAAAAAGGCUAAGAGAAAAGCUAGAGAGAAGCAACUGGAGGAAGCGAGGAGGCUUGCUUCUCUGCAGAAGAGGAGAGAGUUGAAAGCGGCUGGGAUUGGGAACAGCCAUAGGAAAAGGAAGCGAAAGGGGAUUGAUUAUAAUGCAGAGAUUCCUUUUGAGAAGAGGGCGCCUGCGGGGUUUUAUGAUACUGCGGAUGAGGACCGUCCUGCUGACCAGGUGAAGUUUCCGACGACCAUUGAGGAUCUUGAAGGGAAAAGAAGGGCUGAUGUGGAAGCGCAGUUGCGGAAGCAAGAUGUUGCUAGGAACAAGAUUGCUGAGAGAAGGGAUGCUCCAGCGGCUAUAUUGCAAGCGAACAAGAUGAAUGAUCCUGAAGCUGUUAGGAAGAGGUCGAAGCUGAUGUUACCACCACCGCAGAUUUCAGACCACGAGCUAGAGGAGAUUGCAAAGAUGGGGUAUGCUAGUGACCUUCUUGCGGAGAAUGAGGAGCUGACAGAAGGCAGUGCUGCAACUCGUGCGCUUUUGGCAAAUUACUCGCAGACACCAAGGCAAGGAAUGACACCAUUGAGGACGCCUCAAAGAACUCCUGCUGGUAAAGGUGAUGCUAUUAUGAUGGAAGCUGAGAACCUGGCUAGGUUGAGAGACUCUCAGACACCUUUGCUAGGAGGAGAUAAUCCUGAGUUGCACCCUUCUGACUUUACUGGGGUUACUCCGAGGAAGAAAGAGAUUCAAACGCCUAAUCCAAUGUUGACCCCAUCGAUGACGCCUGGUGGAGCUAGUCUUACUCCCAGAAUUGGCUUGACGCCAUCAAGGGAGGGUUCUUCUUUUGCUAUGACACCCAGAGGUACUCCCUUCAGGGAUGAACUUCACAUAAAUGAAGACAUGGACAUGCACGAAAAUGCAAAACUUGAGAGGAAGAGACGAGAGGAAGCUAGGAUGAGCUUACGCUCUGGUCUGACUGGGCUUCCUCAGCCAAGGAACGAAUACCAAAUAGUUGCACAACCUCCUCCUGAAGAAAGUGAAGAGCCAGAAGAGAAAAUUGAGGAAGACAUGUCAGACAGGAUUGCUAGGGAAAAGGCUGAGGAGGAAGCAAGACAGCAAGCGCUGCUUAGGAAAAGGUCCAAGGUGUUGCAGAGAGAUCUUCCAAGACCUCCAGCAGCUUCGUUGGAACUGAUUAGGAAUUCGCUGCUUUCAGCCAACCGAGACAAAAGUUCUGUUGUUCCUCCUAGUCCAGUUGAUGAUGCAGAUGAAAUGGUAAGAAAGGAGCUUCUACAGUUGCUGGAGCAUGAUAAUGCAAAG
RNAcentral lists this long non-coding RNA (2539 nucleotides) under Brassica napus (rape). RNAcentral's name for it is "long non-coding RNA (BNAP_LNC004829)". The record is from RNAcentral. Lineage: Eukaryota; Viridiplantae; Streptophyta; Magnoliopsida; Brassicales; Brassicaceae.